This 1375-nucleotide long non-coding RNA is filed under the name Volvox carteri. Its description in RNAcentral is "long non-coding RNA (VCAR_LNC000033)". Lineage: Eukaryota; Viridiplantae; Chlorophyta; Chlorophyceae; Chlamydomonadales; Volvocaceae. The record is from RNAcentral.
GAUAUUAUUUAUUCACAAAGAUGUACCAUGAUUGCUGUUUCCCAUAGCGUCAUGUAAGGUCAGUCAUUGUGAACCACGGUACAGUCGCAGCCUCUAAUUGGUAGGGCAAACUGCCCCGUUUCAGCAUAGUCCUCGAAUCAUUCAGCAUAUUACAUGCAUCAAGCAACCUCUUCUGUCUGGGACGCUCAGCAGCCGACCCAAUUGGCAAGUGCCUUGGCAGAGCCCGAGCAGUCCGGCUUUGCUGAAGGUCCUAUCGAUGCCGAGGUCAUGCUAGCGCUGCUGAAGUUGCUAAUAGGUAACAUAUUAUAUGACGCUUUCUGUAGUCCAUCGUAUGUCAGUCGCUUCCGUCGGUACUCCCAAGGCAUCUGCGUUAGGACAUAUGCACAGCUUCAUCGGUUCUGCCUUGCCUGAUCGUCGAUUGCCUUCCCGGGUCCGCAGUGGACAGGCACAUCAGGGAGCGACACCAUAAGGAUGAAUUAGAGCGCGAGAGGCAAAAUGGCGUAAGGCUAAACGGAGUUCAAGACUGCAAGCGGCGUCGGCUCUCGAACGAUGGGCCAAAUGCGCAGUAAUCGGAUCAUCCUAUAUUUGCUACAUAGUAUUUCAUUUCGACGUUUUGGGGCAACGGUGUUCUUGACCCAGACGGCAGCAUCCAUAGAUAUGUCGGCCGUCGAAUUCUCCGUGCGGUGGAAAGUUACAGUAACGACCUUACUGGCCACGCAACGCGCCCAAGUUUUCUAUCCAACUAUUUUAAAGUUGAGCAGAUGACGUUUUAGGGCCCCCAUGUGCGAUCAACGGCUAGCACUCCUACGUGCGAUUUCCUUAUCGCUGUGGUAGGAUUUCUUGUUGUCCAGGCAGAUCCACACCGCAGAGGCUUGCUUGAUAAGGAUGACAAAUUGGUGAGGCUUGUUACCCACGUAGCUAUGUACGGCAGACCCUAAGAACCACAGUGUGUAAUAGAGAUUGACACGCAUGUAAACCCAUAACAGACAUCGCUAUGCAUUCAAAUCAAGUCGAUCGACGCGGCAAGGAUACUCGAGUCGGUUAUGUCGCCGGUCGAUGACCCCUCUGACGGGUGGGCUGUACGGCAGUGGUCACUUUAAGGCACAUAUCCGUACCAUUUGUGGUUUGGCUAUCUGUCGCCCGCUAUUCAUAAGUGUGUGUGGAAGGUUGCCUGCCUUGCAGCCAUGAGUUCGCUUAAUCAUGCAGUAGGUAUUACAGCGAGAGCCCCCCGGAUAGACCGCAAGGGAAUAUGUAACCCAGCAGGGUGGCAGAGGGCCAUCGCGAGCCACAACGGACUGUGCACUGCACUGCAUUGGGAAACCUAAGACAGGAAACGCACAUCAUGAACAGCAAUACUCAAUACUCAAUGAUGAUC